RNAcentral lists this long non-coding RNA (1220 nucleotides) under Phasianus colchicus (ring-necked pheasant). Its description in RNAcentral is "lncRNA (ENSPCLG00000017373.1)". The record is from RNAcentral. Lineage: Eukaryota; Metazoa; Chordata; Aves; Galliformes; Phasianidae.
UCACCUGGGAGGCGCCGGGCUUCGACGGCGGGAUGCCCAUCACAGGUAGUGCCACCAACUGCCACCACCUGCGUCACCUGCGUCACCUCUGUGUCACCUGGGUCACCUGGGUCACCUCUGGGUCACCAACUGUGCUGCGUCACCUCUGGGUCACCUGUGUGUCACCUGGGUCACCUCUGUGUCACCUCUGUGUCAGCUGGGUCACCUCUGGGUCACCAACUGUGCUGGGUCACCUCUGUGUCACCUCUGUGUCACCUGGGUCACCUCUGGGUCACCUGGGUCACCUCCGGGUCACCAACUUUGCUGGGUCACCUCUGUGUCACCUCUGUGUCACCUGGGUCACCUCUGGGUCACCUGGGUCACCUCUGGGUCACCAACUUUGCUGGGUCACCUCUGUGUCAGCUGGGUCACCUCUGGGUCACCAACUGUGCUGGGUCACCUCUUUGUCACCUCUGUGUCACCUCUGUGUCACCUGGGUCACCUCUGCGUCACCAACUGUGCUGGGUCACCUCUGUGUCACCUGUGUGUCACCUCUGGGUCACCAACUGUGCUGGGUCACCUCUGGGUCACCUCUGUGUCACCUGGNNNNNNNNNNNNNNNNNNNNNNNNGGUCACCAACUGUGCUGCGUCACCUCUGGGUCACCUGUGUGUCACCUGGGUCACCUCUGGGUCACCUCUGGGUCACCUGUGUCACCUCUGGGUCACCAACUGUGCUGGGUCACCUCUGUGUCACCUCUGUGUCACCUCUGUGUCACCUGUGUCACCUCUGGGUCACCAUCAGUAUCACCUGCGUCACCUCUGGCUCACCAACUGUGCUGGGUCACCAACUGUGCUGGGUCACCUCUGUGUCACCUCUGUGUCACCUGGGUCACCUCUGUGUCACCUCUGUGUCACCUCUGUGUCACCCACCGCCUCAUCUCUGUGUCACCUCUGUGUCACCAUCAGAGUCACCACUGCGUCACCUCUGUGUCACCUCUGUGUCACCAAUUGUCAGUGUCCCCAGUGCCCCCAGCACCCCUGACGCUCCCAAUGCCCCCAUUGCCCCCAUUGCCCCCAUUCCCCCAAUGCCCCCAAUGCCCCCAUUGCCCCCACUGCCCCCAUUGCCCCCAUUGACCCCAAUGCCUUUAUUGACCCCACUGCCCCCCAUGUCCCCAUUCCCCCCAAGCCUCCCAUUGCCCCCAACGCCCCCAACAACCCCAUUGCCCCCAAAGAUCCCACUG